ACUUGUUAGAUAGUUAUGUGUCGUGGCAAAAAAAGAAAAGAAAAAAAAAUCAUAAGCUUAACAAGUUUAGUUUGUAAUCAGAUACAGGCUGCACCUAUGCUGCAGUCAGAAGAUGAGCCUUAAAUGCGAUUUAAAAAUUGAACAAGUAAACAUCGGACCUCUGACCAAAUGGCAUAAAAAAAAAACCCUGAUGUAAGUGUAACGCCUCCAUUAGGUCGCCAGGACACCGCGACUUAAUGGAUGCCCAGAUGAGUCAUACAAAGGAAAACAUAGACCAGUACUCUAGGUUCAGCAGUAGAGAUUGAAUGGAAUAAACAGACAGGCAACAAAGCCUCCAUUAUGUGACACUGAUAGAUCGGCAGUGAACGCCACCUCACAUUCUCUUACAGCAGACUUUGACGUGCAUGUACAUGUACUGGUGACCGGAAUUCAAAGCCUCAUCUGUAUGUGUUGCAGAGAAAACUGUUUAAAAAAAUAAUGUACACAGAUAUUCAAAGAGAAAAACAGGAUGCUGAAGUAACCUGUGUACAUAUGUGAAGAGCUGGGCAUGUUCGUAGAUCUCAUGAAUGUGCGCUUUAGUAGUUACAAAGUAUUAAAUGAUCUGCAUUGUUCUGUACUGAAGGUAAAACAACAUAUGCAUAAUAUUAGCUAGUCUUUUAAAAGGUUUAAAAAUGUUUUAGAUCUUGGCCAAAUAUGUAGUUUUCAGGUUAUCAGCUACACCUAACUUGUAUAUAAAUG
Molecule: long non-coding RNA, 738 nt
Organism: Ictalurus punctatus (channel catfish)
Lineage: Eukaryota; Metazoa; Chordata; Actinopteri; Siluriformes; Ictaluridae
Source: Ensembl